RNAcentral lists this ribosomal RNA (775 nucleotides) under uncultured anaerobic bacterium. Its description in RNAcentral is "bacterial SSU rRNA". It matches the Rfam family "Bacterial small subunit ribosomal RNA", at positions 40 to 786 of the family's 1533-position model. The record is from RNAcentral.
CGGCGUGCUUAACACAUGCAAGUCGAACGGAGAUUAAGAGGAAGCUUGCGAAUCUUAAUUUUAGUGGCGGACGGGUGAGUAACGCGUGGGCAACCUACCUAUUAGUGGGGGAUAACAGUUGGAAACGACUGCUAAUACCGCAUAAGCUGACAAGAACACAUGUUUUUGUCGGGAAAGAUGGCCUCUGAAUAUGCUAUCACCAAUAGAUGGGCCCGCGUCUGAUUAGCUAGUUGGUGGGGUAACGGCCUACCAAGGCUGCGAUCAGUAGCCGGCCUGAGAGGGUGGACGGCCACACUGGGACUGAGACACGGCCCAGACUCCUACGGGAGGCAGCAGUGGGGAAUAUUGCGCAAUGGGGGAAACCCUGACGCAGCGACGCCGCGUGAGCGAUGAAGGCUUUAGGGUCGUAAAGCUCUGUUGUAAGGGAAGAAUGUCGUGGUUGAUAAUACCAAUCACGAAUGACGGUACCUUACGAGUAAGCCCCGGCUAACUACGUGCCAGCAGCCGCGGUAAGACGUAGGGGGCGAGCGUUGUCCGGAAUUACUGGGCGUAAAGAGCACGUAGGCGGAUAUUUAAGUCAGGUGUGAAAGACCGCAGCUCAACUGCGGGGUUGCACCUGAAACUGGGUAUCUUGAGGGCAGGAGAGGGCAGUGGAAUUCCAGGUGUAGCGGUGAAAUGCGUAGAAAUCUGGAGGAACACCAGUGGCGAAGGCGACUGUCUGGACUGACCCUGACGCUGAGGUGCGAAAGCUGGGUAGCAAACAGGAUUAGAUACC